GGGAAUAUUGCGCAAUGGGGGAAACCCUGACGCAGCAACGCCGCGUGAGUGAGGAAGGUCUUCGGAUUGUAAAACUCUGUUCUUAGGGAAAAAUGUCCUAGUGGCUAAUAUCCAUUAGGAGUGAUGGUACCUAAGUAGAAAGCACCGGCUAACUUCGUGCCAGCAGCCGCGGUAAUACGAAGGGUGCAAGCGUUGUUCGGAAUCAUUGGGCGUAAAGCGAGCGCAGGCGGAUCAGUAAGUCAGGUGUGAAAUCUCGAGGCUCAACCUCGAAAUUGCGCCUGAAACUACUAGUCUAGAAUGUCGGAGGGGAUAGGGGAAUUUCACGUGUAGGGGUAAAAUCCGUAGAGAUGUGAAGGAACACCGGAGGCGAAGGCGCCUAUCUGGACGACUAUUGACGCUGAGGCUCGAAAGCGUGGGGAGCAAA
Molecule: ribosomal RNA, 424 nt
Filed under: uncultured bacterium
Lineage: Bacteria
Description: bacterial SSU rRNA
Rfam family: Bacterial small subunit ribosomal RNA
Source: RNAcentral